Molecule: non-coding RNA, 73 nt
Organism: Aedes albopictus (Asian tiger mosquito)
Lineage: Eukaryota; Metazoa; Arthropoda; Insecta; Diptera; Culicidae
Source: Rfam
UGUUCUGUGGUUUUGUUGGUUAAAACGCCGGACUAGCGAUACGAAAUUGUGGGUUCGAAUCCCACCAAAAGAA